Molecule: ribosomal RNA, 253 nt
Filed under: uncultured bacterium
Lineage: Bacteria
Description: partial 16S ribosomal RNA
Rfam family: Bacterial small subunit ribosomal RNA
Source: RNAcentral
GACGGGGGCUGCAAGCGUUAUCCGGAAUGAUUGGGCGUAAAGCGUCUGUAGGUGGUUUAUCAAGUCUUCUGUCAAAGAUCAGGGCUUAACUCUGGGCAGGCAGGAGAAACUAGUAGACUAGAGUUCGGUAGGGGCAGAGGGAAUUCCCGGUGGAGCGGUGAAAUGCGUAGAGAUCGGGAGGAACACCAAAGGCGAAAGCACUCUGCUGGGCCUUAACUGACACUGAGAGACGAAAGCGAGGGGAGCAAAUGGG